AGGAAUCUGCCUGGUAGUGGGGGAUAACGCUCGGAAACGGACGCUAAUACCGCAUACGUCCUACGGGAGAAAGCAGGGGACCUUCGGGCCUUGCGCUAUCAGAUGAGCCUAGGUCGGAUUAGCUAGUUGGUGAGGUAAUGGCUCACCAAGGCGACGAUCCGUAACUGGUCUGAGAGGAUGAUCAGUCACACUGGAACUGAGACACGGUCCAGACUCCUACGGGAGGCAGCAGUGGGGAAUAUUGGACAAUGGGCGAAAGCCUGAUCCAGCCAUGCCGCGUGUGUGAAGAAGGUCUUCGGAUUGUAAAGCACUUUAAGUUGGGAGGAAGGGCAGUUACCUAAUACGUGAUUGUUUUGACGUUACCGACAGAAUAAGCACCGGCUAACUCUGUGCCAGCAGCCGCGGUAAUACAGAGGGUGCAAGCGUUAAUCGGAAUUACUGGGCGUAAAGCGCGCGUAGGUGGUUUGUUAAGUUGGAUGUGAAAUCCCCGGGCUCAACCUGGGAACUGCAUCCAAAACUGGCAAGCUAGAGUAUGGUAGAGGGUGGUGGAAUUUCCUGU
RNAcentral lists this ribosomal RNA (559 nucleotides) under uncultured bacterium. RNAcentral's name for it is "bacterial SSU rRNA". It matches the Rfam family "Bacterial small subunit ribosomal RNA", at positions 119 to 674 of the family's 1533-position model. The record is from RNAcentral.